GGUAAAAUGGCCGAAGCAGGUGAAGGGUUGUAGCCCCUUUCAUGAAGGUUAAAGUCCUUUUUUUACCA
This 68-nucleotide transfer RNA is filed under the name Salamandrella tridactyla (Schrenck's Siberian newt). RNAcentral's name for it is "tRNA-Tyr". It matches the Rfam family "tRNA". Rfam says of the family: Transfer RNA (tRNA) molecules are approximately 80 nucleotides in length. Their secondary structure includes four short double-helical elements and three loops (D, anti-codon, and T loops). The record is from RNAcentral. Lineage: Eukaryota; Metazoa; Chordata; Amphibia; Caudata; Hynobiidae.